Molecule: ribosomal RNA, 253 nt
Filed under: uncultured bacterium
Lineage: Bacteria
Description: partial 16S ribosomal RNA
Rfam family: Bacterial small subunit ribosomal RNA
Source: RNAcentral
UACGGAGGGGGCUAGCGUUGUUCGGAAUUACUGGGCGUAAAGCGCACGUAGGCGGCUUUGUAAGUUAGAGGUGAAAGCCCAGGGCUUAACCCUGGAAUUGCCUUUAAGACUGCAUCGCUAGAAUCGUGGAGAGGUGAGUGGAAUUCCGAGUGUAGAGGUGAAAUUCGUAGAUAUUCGGAAGAACACCGGUGGCGAAGGCGGCAUCCUGGACCGGUAUUGACGCUGAGGCGCGAAAGCCAGGGGAGCAAACGGG